RNAcentral lists this ribosomal RNA (274 nucleotides) under uncultured bacterium. Its description in RNAcentral is "partial 16S ribosomal RNA". It matches the Rfam family "Bacterial small subunit ribosomal RNA", at positions 523 to 796 of the family's 1533-position model. The record is from RNAcentral.
AUACGGAGGGGGCAAGCGUUAUUCGGAAUUAUUGGGCGUAAAGGGCGCGUAGGCGGCUUGACAAGUCAAAGGUGAAAUCCCUCGGCCUAACCGAGGAACUGCCUUUGAAACUGUCUGGCUUGAGGCCGGGAGAGGGUAGUGGAAUUCCCAGUGUAGCGGUGAAAUGCGUAGAUAUUGGGAGGAACACCAGUGGCGAAGGCGACUACCUGGACCGGUUCUGACGCUGAGGCGCGAAAGCGUGGGGAGCAAACAGGAUUAGAAACCCCGGUAGUCC